CCCUUAGAUGUCCUGGGCCGCACGCGCGCUACACUGAUGCAUUCAACGAGUUUCUUCCUGGUCCGAGAGGAAUGGGUAACCUUUUGAAAGUGCAUCGUGAUAGGGAUAGACUAUUGCAACUAUUGGUCUUCAACGAGGAAUUCCUAGUAGACGUAGUUCAUCAGACUGCAUCGAUUACGUCCCUGCCCUUUGUACACACCGCCCGUCGCUCCUACCGAUUGAAUGCUCAGGUGAGCCAUUCGGACUUUCAUCAUGCUGGUUUCCAGUUUUGAUGAAGGAAAGUCUUGCGAACCUUAUCAUUUAGAGGAAGGAGAAGUCGUAACA
RNAcentral lists this ribosomal RNA (324 nucleotides) under uncultured eukaryote. Its description in RNAcentral is "partial 18S ribosomal RNA". It matches the Rfam family "Eukaryotic small subunit ribosomal RNA", at positions 1470 to 1796 of the family's 1831-position model. The record is from RNAcentral.